AUGCUCCUCGGUUACUGGAUAGGUGUCCUGUCUGAGGUGCAGCUGGUCCAAUCUGGAUCAGGAGUGGUGACGCCAGGAGAGACCCUCCGCCUGACAUGCACAGUCUCAUUUUCUGACACUAGAGAAAGCAUAGAUAAUUAUUACUGGAGCUGGAUCCGGCAGCCUCCUGGGAAAGGUCUGGAAUGGAUGGGACAGAUAGAUCCUGAAAAUGACAGCACAGAUUACGCUCCCGUGUUCCAAAACAGAAUAAGACUCUCCACUGAUUCUUCCACAAACCAGAUCUAUCUUCAGCUGAGCUCCUUGGCAGCGGCAGAUACUGCCACAUAUUACUGUGCUAGAGAGCCACAGUGA
Molecule: non-coding RNA, 351 nt
Organism: Euleptes europaea (tarantolino)
Lineage: Eukaryota; Metazoa; Chordata; Lepidosauria; Squamata; Sphaerodactylidae
Source: the annotation of a RefSeq genome assembly